RNAcentral lists this ribosomal RNA (267 nucleotides) under uncultured eukaryote. Its description in RNAcentral is "partial Bacterial small subunit ribosomal RNA". It matches the Rfam family "Bacterial small subunit ribosomal RNA", at positions 663 to 932 of the family's 1533-position model. The record is from RNAcentral.
GGAAUUUCUAGUGUAGCGGUGAAAUGCGUAGAUAUUAGGAAGAACACCAUUAGCGAAGGCGUCCUACUGGGCCAUAACUGACACUCAGAGACGAAAGCUAGGGUAGCAAACGGGAUUAGAUACCCCGGUAGUCCUAGCCGUAAACGAUGGAUACUAGAUGUCGCGGGUUUACCUGCGGUGUCGUAGCUAACGCGUUAAGUAUCCCGCCUGGGAAGUACGCACGCAAGUGUGAAACUCAAAGGAAUUGACGGGGGCCCGCACAAGCGG